RNAcentral lists this unclassified non-coding RNA (334 nucleotides) under soil metagenome. RNAcentral's name for it is "partial contains 5.8S ribosomal RNA, internal transcribed spacer 2, and large subunit ribosomal RNA". The stretch from base 1 to 120 matches the Rfam family "5.8S ribosomal RNA", at positions 35 to 154 of the family's 154-position model. The record is from RNAcentral.
GAUGAAGAACGUAGUGAAAUGCGAUAAGUAGUGUGAAUUGCAGAAUUCAGUGAAUCAUCGAAUCUUUGAACGCACAUUGCGCCCGCCAGCACUCUGGCGGGCAUGCCUGUUCGAGCGUCAUUUCAACCAUCAAGCCCCAGGCUUGCGUUGGAGCCCUGCGGCUGCCGCAGCCUCCUAAAAGCAGUGGCGGGCUCGCUAUCACACCGAGUGCAGUAGAUUACUCUUCGCUCAGGGCGUGCAGCGGGUUCCGGCCGUGAAACCCCCUACUUUUAAAGGUUGACCUCGGAUCAGGUAGGAAUACCCGCUGAACUUAAGCAUAUCAAUAAGCGGAGGA